Molecule: ribosomal RNA, 373 nt
Filed under: uncultured organism
Description: partial 16S ribosomal RNA
Rfam family: Bacterial small subunit ribosomal RNA
Source: RNAcentral
GUAGGUGGCAAGCGUUGUCCGGAAUUAUUGGGCGUAAAGCGCGCGCAGGCGGUUCUUUAAGUCUGAUGUAAAAGCCCACGGCUCAACCGUGGAGGGUCAUUGGAAACUGGAGAACUUGAGUACAGAAGAGGAAAGCGGAAUUCCACGUGUAGCGGUGAAAUGCGUAGAGAUGUGGAGGAACACCAGUGGCGAAGGCGGCUUUCUGGUCUGUAACUGACGCUGAGGCGCGAAAGCGUGGGGAGCAAACAGGGAUUGGAUACCCUGGUAGUCCACGCCGUAAACGAUGAGUGCUAAGUGUUAGGGGGUUUCCCGCCCCUUAGUGCUGCAGCUAACGCAUUAAGCACUCCGCCUGGGGAGUACGGCCGCAAGGCUG